RNAcentral lists this ribosomal RNA (498 nucleotides) under uncultured bacterium. Its description in RNAcentral is "partial 16S ribosomal RNA". It matches the Rfam family "Bacterial small subunit ribosomal RNA", at positions 28 to 507 of the family's 1533-position model. The record is from RNAcentral.
GAUGAACGCUGGCGGCGUGCCUAAUACAUGCAAGUAGAGCGAAGAGGGGGGGAGUUUGCUCCUCUGACGUGAGCGGCGGGGGGGAGUGACACAUGGGGAAAACCCACGUAUGAGACUGGGAUAACUUGGGGAAACCGGCUAUAAUAGCAGAAAAUAUAUUGAACCGUGUGGUUUGAUAGAGAAAUACGGUUUUGCUGUUACUAGUAGAUGGAUCCGCGCCGUAUUAGGUAGUUGGUAGGGUAACGGCCUACCAAGGCAACGAUUCGUCGCCGACCUGAGAGGGUGAUCGGCCACCCUGGGACUGGGACACGGCCCAGACUCCUACGGGGGGCAGCAGUAGGGAAUCUUCGGCAAUGGGCGGAAGUCUGACCGAGCAACGCCGCGGGAGUGAAGAAGGGUGUCGGAUCGUAAAGCCCUGUUGUAAGAGAAGAACGAGUGUGAGAGUGAAAAGUUCACGCUUUGACGGUAUCUUACCAGAAAGGGACGGCUAACUACGUG